This is a long non-coding RNA of Cavia porcellus (domestic guinea pig), 650 nucleotides long. RefSeq lists it as uncharacterized. The record is from RefSeq and is a predicted model, not a curated record. The transcript has 4 exons. Lineage: Eukaryota; Metazoa; Chordata; Mammalia; Rodentia; Caviidae.
CACACUGCUGUGGAGUUCAGAGGCCGGUAGUGAGAUUUAUUUUUGUUUGUAUGAGUAAAAAGCUGCAGAAGCCUAUGGUGGGGUGAGGGGGGCGCAAUUGGAAUGCUGAGAUUCAGACCGCCCGCUGUUGGCCUGGAGUCAAGUGGGCUGACCCGGAAGGGAUUGAACUCACGACCUCACGCUUACCACGCAAGCACUUGAACCGCUGAGCUAAAUCCCUGGCUCUGAUUGAGUUUAAUGGAUAAAGGUUGUUCUGAAAAAUAUGAAGAAAUGUUCCUUUUCCUAUGGGGAGGAAGUAGCAGAGCCAAGCAUGACAUCUCUAGCUUGCUUCAAGUAGCAGUGUAAGCCAACAGCCUGACCAUUCUGAAAGAGAAGAGAGGAUACUGUGGAUGCUGCUGGACGCAGUGAGGUACUAAUGGCCUAAGGAUAUCUCUUAUGGAAAAACCUGCAGAGGUGUCUUGUUUGCUCCUCCAUCACCUGCCUCAGCUUUCCAGUGUGGAUGAGAGAACAGACCAAGGUUUCAUUUGGAGAGUCUGGAAUCCUAGGCUCAGCUAUAUCCCUGGAACCACCUCUGUCCUGGAAGCUGAGUCCUGUGUCAUCAGGGGUGGGGUGGGUUCUCCAGCUAUCCUAAUAAAGCCAGUCCAAGACUC